This 353-nucleotide long non-coding RNA is filed under the name Nicotiana benthamiana. RNAcentral describes it as "long non-coding RNA (NBEN_LNC035846)". Lineage: Eukaryota; Viridiplantae; Streptophyta; Magnoliopsida; Solanales; Solanaceae. The record is from RNAcentral.
GGAUGUUUUUGUAAACAUACAGUUCUUUUAGAAAUUGUGCAAUGCUUUAAUACAUCAAACCAAACAAUGGAUAAGAAAUAUCUCAGCAUAACUAAUAUCAGCAUAACUAAUACAAACAUUACUAAUACCAACAUUACUAAUACACCAUAUUCACCAUUAUUCUUGUACACUUUACCAAACGACCCUUAAUGAAUUUGUUCUCCUGCUUGCACCUAUUACGAGGCAAUCCACGCAGUAUGUACCAUCAGGAUAAAGAAUUGCCAAGCAUGGCCACUAGUUGGCGUCUUGCCAGGACUUCCAAAUAUUUCUUGACCUUAACUUUACACAUUUUUUGGAACUUUAACCAGUUAUUG